This 465-nucleotide ribosomal RNA is filed under the name Vreelandella stevensii. RNAcentral's name for it is "partial 16S ribosomal RNA". It matches the Rfam family "Bacterial small subunit ribosomal RNA", at positions 338 to 795 of the family's 1533-position model. Lineage: Bacteria; Pseudomonadati; Pseudomonadota; Gammaproteobacteria; Oceanospirillales; Halomonadaceae. The record is from RNAcentral.
CCUACGGGUGGCUGCAGUGGGGAAUAUUGGACAAUGGGCGAAAGCCUGAUCCAGCCAUGCCGCGUGUGUGAAGAAGGCCUUCGGGUUGUAAAGCACUUUCAGUGGGGAAGAAAGCCUUGGGGCUAAUACCCUCGAGGAAGGACAUCACCCACAGAAGAAGCACCGGCUAACUCCGUGCCAGCAGCCGCGGUAAUACGGAGGGUGCGAGCGUUAAUCGGAAUUACUGGGCGUAAAGCGCGCGUAGGCGGUCUGAUAAGCCGGUUGUGAAAGCCCCGGGCUCAACCUGGGAGCGGCAUCCGGAACUGUCAGGCUAGAGUGCAGGAGAGGAAGGUAGAAUUCCCGGUGUAGCGGUGAAAUGCGUAGAGAUCGGGAGGAAUACCAGUGGCGAAGGCGGCCUUCUGGACUGACACUGACGCUGAGGUGCGAAAGCGUGGGUAGCAAACAGGAUUAGAUACCCCGGUAGUC